GGGGUCGUAGCUCAGUUUGGUUAGAGCGUCUGCCUGUCACGCAGGAAGUCCUCCCGACUAAUCGGGAAGUCUCG
Molecule: transfer RNA, 74 nt
Filed under: Bacteroidota bacterium
Lineage: Bacteria; Pseudomonadati; Bacteroidota
Also listed under: 1 other name
Description: Bacteroidetes bacterium tRNA-Asp
Source: RNAcentral